UGCGCCUUGCCAGCCCGCUCAGAAACUUAAAGGAAUUGACGGGGGCCCGCACAAGCGGAGGAGCAUGUGGUUUAAUUCGAUGAUACGCGAGGAACCUUACCUGGGCUCGAACGUAAGAUGACUGUAGGUGAAAGCUUACAUCUCUUCGGAGCAUUUUACGAGGUGCUGCAUGGUUGUCGUCAGCUCGUGCCGUGAGGUGUCGGGUUAAGUCCCAUAACGAGCGCAACCCCUACCUUUAGUUGCCAUCAGGUUAAGCUGGGGACUCUAAAGGAACUGCCUACGCAAGUAGUGAGGAAGGCGGGGAUGACGUCAAAUCAGCACGGCCCUUACGUCCAGGGCUACACACGUGCUACAAUGGCCGGUACAGAGCGCAGCGAGGCCGCGAGGCGGAGCGAAUCGCUUAAAGCCGGUCCCAGUACGGAUUGGAGUCUGCAACCCGACUCCAUGAAGUUGGAAUCGCUAGUAAUCGUGGAUCAGCAUGCCACGGUGAAUACGUUCCCGGGCCUU
RNAcentral lists this ribosomal RNA (507 nucleotides) under uncultured Sphingobacteriales bacterium. RNAcentral describes it as "bacterial SSU rRNA". It matches the Rfam family "Bacterial small subunit ribosomal RNA", at positions 903 to 1382 of the family's 1533-position model. The record is from RNAcentral. Lineage: Bacteria; Pseudomonadati; Bacteroidota; Sphingobacteriia; Sphingobacteriales.